AAUACGGAGGGUCCAAGCGUUAUCCGGAAUCAUUGGGUUUAAAGGGUCCGUAGGCGGGCUAAUAAGUCAGAGGUGAAAGUUUGCAGCUCAACUGUAAAAUUGCCUUUGAUACUGUUAGUCUUGAGUUAUAGUGAAGUGGUUAGAAUAAGUGGUGUAGCGGUGAAAUGCAUAGAUAUCACUUAGAAUACCGAUUGCGAAGGCAGAUCACUAACUGUAUACUGACGCUGAGGGACGAAAGCAUGGGYAGCGAACGGGAUUAGAUACCCCGGUAGUCCAUGCUGUAAACGAUGAUUACUCGGUAUUGGCUUCGGUCAGUGGCUAAGCGAAAGUGAUAAGUAUCCCACCUGGGGAGUACGUUCGCAAGAAUGAAACUCAAAGGAAUUGACGGGGGCCCGCACAAGCGGUGGAGCAUGUGGUUUAAUUCGAUGAUACGCGAGGAACCUUACCAGGGCUUAAAUGGGAGGUGACAGGGGCAGAGACGCCCUUUUCUUCGGACAUCUUUCAAGGUGCUGCAUGGUUGUCGUCAGCUCGUGCCGUGAGGUGUCAGGUUAAGUCCUAUAACGAGCGCAACCCCUACCGUUAGUUGCCAGCGAUUCAAGUCGGGGACUCUAACGGGACUGCCGGUGCAAACCGUGAGGAAGGUGGGGACGACGUCAAAUCAUCACGGCCCUUACGUCCUGGGCUACACACGUGCUACAAUGGUCGGUACAGAGGGAAGCUACCCCGCAAGGGGAUGCGGAUCUAUAAAACCGAUCUCAGUUCGGAUCGGGGUCUGCAACUCGACCCCGUGAAGCUGGAAUCGCUAGUAAUCGGAUAUCAGCCAUGAUCCGGUGAAUACGUUCCCGGGCCUUGUACACACCGCCCGUCAAGCCAUGGAAGCUGGGGGUGCCUGAAGUCCGUCACCGCAAGGAGCGGCCUAGGGCAAGACUAGU
Molecule: ribosomal RNA, 932 nt
Filed under: uncultured bacterium
Lineage: Bacteria
Description: bacterial SSU rRNA
Rfam family: Bacterial small subunit ribosomal RNA
Source: RNAcentral